This 414-nucleotide ribosomal RNA is filed under the name uncultured Spirochaeta sp. RNAcentral's name for it is "bacterial SSU rRNA". It matches the Rfam family "Bacterial small subunit ribosomal RNA", at positions 355 to 762 of the family's 1533-position model. The record is from RNAcentral. Lineage: Bacteria; Pseudomonadati; Spirochaetota; Spirochaetia; Spirochaetales; Spirochaetaceae.
CUAAGAAUCUUCCACAAUGGACGGAAGUCUGAUGGAGCGACGCCGCGUGGACGAUGAAGGCCGUGAGGUUGUAAAGUCCUUUUCGGGAGGGGGAAUAACCUGGGGAGGGAAUGCCCCGGGGAUGACGUGAAUCCCGGAAUAAGCCCCGGCUAACUACGUGCCAGCAGCCGCGGUAAUACGUAGGGGGCGAGCGUUGUUCGGAAUCAUUGGGCGUAAAGGGUGCGCAGGUGGCCUUUCAAGUCUGGCGUUAAAGUUCGGGGCUCAACUCCGUGAUGCGCUGGAAACUGGAGGGCUAGAGUACAGCAGGGGGCAUCGGAAUUCCAGGUGUAGGGGUGAAAUCUGUAGAUAUCUGGAAGAACACCGGUGGCGAAGGCGGAUGCCUGGGCAUGUACUGACACUGAGGCACGAAGGUGC